GUGGGGAAUCUUCCGCAAUGGACGAAAGUCUGACGGAGCAACGCCGCGUGAGUGAUGAAGGUCUUCGGAUUGUAAAGCUCUGUUAAUCGGGACGAAAGAGCCUAGUGUGAAUAAUGCUAGGAAGUGACGGUACCGGAAUAGAAAGCCACGGCUAACUACGUGCCAGCAGCCGCGGUAAUACGUAGGUGGCAAGCGUUGUCCGGAAUUAUUGGGCGUAAAGCGCGCGCAGGCGGAUCUGCCAGUCUGUCUUAAAAGUUCGGGGCUUAAACCCGUGAUGGGAUGGAAACUACAGAUCUAGAGUAUCGGAGAGGAAAGUGGAAUUCCUAGUGUAGCGGUGAAAUGCGUAGAGAUUUGGAAGAACACCAGUGGCGAAGGCGACUUUCUGGACGAUGUCUGACGCUGAGGCGCGAAAGCUAGGGGAGCGAACGGGAUUAGAAACCCCGGUAGUCC
RNAcentral lists this ribosomal RNA (450 nucleotides) under uncultured bacterium. Its description in RNAcentral is "partial 16S ribosomal RNA". It matches the Rfam family "Bacterial small subunit ribosomal RNA", at positions 354 to 796 of the family's 1533-position model. The record is from RNAcentral.